This 74-nucleotide transfer RNA is filed under the name Kangiella geojedonensis. Its description in RNAcentral is "Kangiella sp. YCS-5 tRNA". It matches the Rfam family "tRNA". From Rfam's summary of the family: Transfer RNA (tRNA) molecules are approximately 80 nucleotides in length. Their secondary structure includes four short double-helical elements and three loops (D, anti-codon, and T loops). The record is from Rfam by way of RNAcentral. Lineage: Bacteria; Pseudomonadati; Pseudomonadota; Gammaproteobacteria; Kangiellales; Kangiellaceae.
GCGUCCGUAGCUCAGUCGGAUAGAGCAACGGCCUUCUAAGCCGUGGGUCGCAGGUUCGAAUCCUGCCGGACGCG